RNAcentral lists this ribosomal RNA (89 nucleotides) under Aedes circumluteolus. RNAcentral's name for it is "partial 5.8S ribosomal RNA". It matches the Rfam family "5.8S ribosomal RNA", at positions 66 to 154 of the family's 154-position model. Rfam says of the family: 5.8S ribosomal RNA (5.8S rRNA) is a component of the large subunit of the eukaryotic ribosome. It is transcribed by RNA polymerase I as part of the 45S precursor that also contains 18S and 28S rRNA. Functionally, it is thought that 5.8S rRNA may be involved in ribosome translocation. The record is from RNAcentral. Lineage: Eukaryota; Metazoa; Arthropoda; Insecta; Diptera; Culicidae.
UGUGAACUGCAGGACACAUGAACACCGACACGUUGAACGCAUAUUGCACAUCGUACUACAGUACGAUGUACACAUUUUUGAGUGCCUAU